This is a long non-coding RNA of Oncorhynchus nerka (sockeye salmon), 4722 nucleotides long. RefSeq lists it as uncharacterized. The transcript is spliced from 2 exons. The record is from RefSeq and is a predicted model, not a curated record. Lineage: Eukaryota; Metazoa; Chordata; Actinopteri; Salmoniformes; Salmonidae.
GUCAAGGAAGUGGAGGGAGGUUGGGGAGAGAGAAGGUGAGGGAUAGGAGAGCCAAGGAAGUGGAGGGAGGUUGGGAGAGAGAGAAGGUGAGGGAUAGGAGAGCCAAGGAAGUGGAGGGAGGUUGGGAGAGAGAGAAGGUGAGGGAUAGGAGAGCCAAGGAAGUGGAGGGAGGUUUGGAGGUAGACAAGGUGAGGGAUAGGAGAGCCAAGGAAGUGGAGGGAGGUUGGGAGAGAGAGAAGGUGAGGGAUAGGAGGGCCAAGGAAGUGGAGGGAGGUUGGGAGAGAGAGAAGGUGAGGGAUAGGAGAGCCAAGGAAGUGGAGGGAGGUUGGGAGAGAGAGAAGGUGAGGGAUAGGAGGGCCAAGGAAGUGGAGGGAGGUUGGGAGAGAGAGAAGGUGAGGGAUAGGAGAGUCAAGGAAGUGGAGGGAGGUUGGGAGAGAGAGAAGGUGAGGGAUAGGAGAGCCAAGGAAGUGGAGGGAGGUUGGGAGAGAGAGAAGGUGAGGGAUAGGAGGGCCAAGGAAGUGGAGGGAGGUUGGGAGAGAGAGAAGGUGAGGGAUAGGAGAGACAAGGAUGUGGAGGGAAUUUAGGAGAGAGAGAAGGUGAGGGAUAGGAGAGCCAAGGAAGUGGAGGGAGGUUGGGAGAGAGAGAAGGUGAGGGAUAGGAGGGCCAAGGAAGUGGAGGGAGGUUGGGAGAGAGAGAAGGUGAGGGAUAGGAGAGCCAAGGAAGUGGAGGGAGGUUGGGAGAGAGAGAAGGUGAGGGAUAGGAGGGCCAAGGAAGUGGAGGGAGGUUGGGAGAGAGAGAUGGAAACGGAGAGGGGAGAAAGGGGGAAACGGAUAACCAAGACUAAUUACAGAGGUCUUUAAUGGAAUCCAAUCUAAUGACAGGAAAACGUCUUCCUCUCUUUUUCCAUUCGUCCCUCUCGAUCCCUCUUUCUCUUCAUCUCUUUCUCUCCCUCCAUCAGGAAUUAUUGACUAUGACUUUUUGUCCUUAUGAUCUAUUUUCUAUCUAACUGCUACUUGUGUGGUAACGAGCAUCCCUUUAACGAACCAUUUAAUCAACGACCAUAAUACAUACUAAACACCACACACGCACACACACACACACACACACACACGUGCACACACAACACACACUCUCCAUGUAGUAUGCCUACCUUUUAACACACACACAUACACACACACCAUGGCAACAUAAACACGCUACAACAAAAUACACAGCAAACACACAAACACACACACACAUAAAAUAGCACACAAUAUCGCGCAGCAUUCUAUAGUAGACUAUAAAACACUAUAGUACAGCCUAUACUAUAGCCUAUUACUGCCAAGCAGACAAUGCACUAAGUCCAACUGAAAAGAACAUACUGCCAGGCAUUUAUUACUUGACGCAGAGCAUAGACACGGUCCAAGGAAACACUACUGCCAUAUUUCCUUAUGCACACAUGUUCCCAAAACUCUGUUUUAAUGAAUGUAUGCUGUACAUUUCAAACCACAAGCACACCGUUUGCACAGGGGCACAGAUAUGCCUAAACCCACACACACAUGCUGAACCACAUCCACAUGCAGACACACACACAGACACAUACAUACACGCUGAACCACAUCCACAUGCGGACACACACACACACACACACAUACACGCUGAACCACAUCCACAUGCGGACACACACACACACACAUACACGCUGAACCACAUCCACAUGCGGACACACACACAGACACAUACACGCUGAACCACAUCCACAUGUGGACACACACACACACACACACACAUACACGCUGAACCACAUCCACAUGCGGACACACACACACACACACACAGACACAUACACGCUGAACCACAUCCACAUGCGGACACACACACACUCACACACACACAUACACGCUGAACCACAUCCACAUGCGGACACACACACACACACAGACACAUACACGCUGAACCACAUCCACAUGUGGACACACACACACACACACAUACACGCUGAACCACAUCCACAUGCGGACACACACACACACACAGACACAUACACGCUGAACCACAUCCACAUGCGGACACACACACACACACACACACAUACACGCUGAACCACAUCCACAUGUGGACACACACACACACACACACACACAUACACGCUGAACCACAUCCACAUGCGGAGACACACACACACACACACACAUACACGCUGAACCACAUCCACAUGCGGACACACACACACACACACACACACACAGACACAUACACGCUGAACCACAUCCACAUGUGGACACACACACACACACACACACACAUACACGCUGAACCACAUCCACAUGUGGACACACACACACACACAUACACGCUGAACCACAUCCACAUGCGGACACACACACAGACACAUACACGCUGAACCACAUCCACAUGCGGACACACACACACAGACACAUACACGCUGAACCACAUCCACAUGUGGACACACACACACACACAUACACGCUGAACCACAUCCACAUGCGGACACACACACACACACAUACACGCUGAACCACAUCCACAUGCGGACACACACACACAGACACAUACACGCUGAACCACAUCCACAUGCGGACACACACACACACACACACAUACACGCUGAACCACAUCCACAUGCGGACACACACACACACACACACACACAUACACGCUGAACCACAUCCACAUGCGGACACACACACACACACAUACACGCUGAACCACAUCCACAUGCGGACACACACACAGACACAUACACGCUGAACCACAUCCACAUGUGGACACACACACACACACACACACAUACACGCUGAACCACAUCCACAUGCGGACACACACACACACACACACAGACACAUACACGCUGAACCACGUCCACAUGCGGACACACACACACUCACACACACACAUACACGCUGAACCACAUCCACAUGCGGACACACACACACACACAGACACAUACACGCUGAACCACAUCCACAUGUGGACACACACACACACACACACAUACACGCUGAACCACAUCCACAUGCGGACACACACACACACACAGACACAUACACGCUGAACCACAUCCACAUGCGGACACACACACACUCACACACACACAUACACGCUGAACCACAUCCACAUGCGGACACACACACACACACACACACAUACACGCUGAACCACAUCCACAUGUGGACACACACACACACACACACACACACACACACAUACACGCUGAACCACAUCCACAUGCGGAGACACACACACACACACACACAUACACGCUGAACCACAUCCACAUGCGGACACACACACACACACACACACAGACACAUACACGCUGAACCACAUCCACAUGUGGACACACACACACACACACACACAUACACGCUGAACCACAUCCACAUGUGGACACACACACACACACACACACACACAUACACGCUGAACCACAUCCACAUGCGGACACACACACACACAGACACAUACACGCUGAACCACAUCCACAUGCGGACACACACACACAGACACAUACACGCUGAACCACAUCCACAUGUGGACACACACACACACACACACACAUACACGCUGAACCACAUCCACAUGCGGACACACACACACACAUACACGCUGAACCACAUCCACAUGCGGACACACACACACACAGACACAUACACGCUGAACCACAUCCACAUGCGGACACACACACACAGACACAUACACGCUGAACCACAUCCACAUGUGGACACACACACACACACACACACAUACACGCUGAACCACAUCCACAUGCGGACACACACACACACAUACACGCUGAACCACAUCCACAUGCGGACACACACACACAGACACAUACACGCUGAACCACAUCCACAUGUGGACACACACACACACACACACAUACACGCUGAACCACAUCCACAUGCGGACACACACACACACACAGACACAUACACGCUGAACCACAUCCACAUGCGGACACACACACACACACACACAUACACGCUGAACCACAUCCACAUGCGGACACACACACAGACACACACACACAAUCUACCAAAGUGCUCUCUCUCAAAUGGACUACAAAAGAGAGGCAGAAGAGGAUGUCACUGGGGAGAUGGGAAGAGGAGUUUCAGAUUUCCUGACAAUGUUUUUCAAGGAACAUUGGAUUUGGACUAGUACUAGUGCUUUGUGGAUGGCACUUUUCACUGUGCUCAAUGGACUGCCAUAGACAGGGAAUGAAGGAAUAUUAACCAGACAAAGGAUUACAGGCCAUGGCAAGAGAGAAACGGUUGCUUACAAAACUUAACCCUAUAGAGGGAGAGACUAUAUAUCUGAGAGAAUAAUUAUUAUGAUGUGAUGGAAUAAGAUUUCUAUUUCUACGGAGACCCUUUUGAAAACUGUCUUAUAGUGACAUUCUGUGGCCGGAAUAGUGAAUUACACCCGCUUGGAAUAUUGUACUGUACAGUAUGCUGUUACUGAAAUCUACAUAGCUUUGUAUUGCUCAGUCUUUUCUACCAUUACGAUUUAACGGUUAUAGCUAAUAUCUACUAUUAUUAUACUAUAGUAUUCUUCUCAUUCGUCCUGACAAUUAUGAUAAAUGUAUUAAUAAUCAACUUUAAUAAUAAUAAAUAAUGGACAAGGGAGGUGCGUUUGAGGGUGAAAUGAUUUUGUAUUUUUAUUUUAUCAGAGAUAAUUAAUAAAGUAUAUAUCUAUAUAACAUCACUGUUAUUGGGUGAA